GAUGAACGCUGGCGGCGUGCCUAAUACAUGCAAGUCGAGCGAACAGACGAGGAGCUUGCUCCUCUGACGUUAGCGGCGGACGGGUGAGUAACACGUGGAUAACCUACCUAUAAGACUGGGAUAACUUCGGGAAACCGGAGCUAAUACCGGAUAAUAUAUUGAACCGCAUGGUUCAAUAGUGAAAGACGGUUUUGCUGUCACUUAUAGAUGGAUCCGCGCCGCAUUAGCUAGUUGGUAAGGUAACGGCUUACCAAGGCGACGAUGCGUAGCCGACCUGAGAGGGUGAUCGGCCACACUGGAACUGAGACACGGUCCAGACUCCUACGGGAGGCAGCAGUAGGGAAUCUUGCGCAAUGGGCGAAAGCCUGACGGAGCAACGCCGCGUGAGUGAUGAAGGUCUUCGGAUCGUAAAACUCUGUUAUUAGGGAAGAACAAAUGUGUAAGUAACUAUGCACGUCUUGAUGGUACCUAAUCAGAAAGCCACGGCUAACUACGUG
RNAcentral lists this ribosomal RNA (497 nucleotides) under uncultured bacterium. RNAcentral's name for it is "partial 16S ribosomal RNA". It matches the Rfam family "Bacterial small subunit ribosomal RNA", at positions 28 to 507 of the family's 1533-position model. The record is from RNAcentral.